GACGAACCGAGCGAACGUUGUUCGGAAUCACUGGGCUUAAAGGGCGCGUAGGCGGGUGCUCAAGUCCGGGGUGAAAUCCUCCAGCUCAACUGGAGAACUGCCUCGGAUACUGGGUGUCUCGAGGGUGGUAGGGGUAUGCGGAACUAUCGGUGGAGCGGUGAAAUGCGUUGAUAUCGAUAGGAAUUCCGGUGGCGAAGGCGGCAUACUGGACCACAUCUGACGCUGAGGCGCGAAAGCCAGGGGAGCAAACGGG
RNAcentral lists this ribosomal RNA (253 nucleotides) under uncultured bacterium. Its description in RNAcentral is "partial 16S ribosomal RNA". It matches the Rfam family "Bacterial small subunit ribosomal RNA", at positions 524 to 776 of the family's 1533-position model. The record is from RNAcentral.